UAAGAACCUUCAUCCAAUGGAUGGACGUGAACCAGGUCAGGUCCGGAAGGAAGCAGCCUUAAGCGUUUCUGUUCAUGUGGGUGAGGGGUCUUAAGG
This 96-nucleotide signal recognition particle RNA is filed under the name Haloplasma contractile SSD-17B. Its description in RNAcentral is "Bacterial small signal recognition particle RNA". It matches the Rfam family "Bacterial small signal recognition particle RNA". From Rfam's summary of the family: The signal recognition particle (SRP) is a universally conserved ribonucleoprotein involved in the co-translational targeting of proteins to membranes. Archaeal SRP consists of a 7S RNA and homologues of the eukaryotic SRP19 and SRP54 proteins. In most bacteria, the SRP consists of a 4.5S RNA and the Ffh protein (a homologue of the eukaryotic SRP54 protein). The record is from Rfam by way of RNAcentral. Lineage: Bacteria; Bacillati; Mycoplasmatota; Mollicutes; Haloplasmatales; Haloplasmataceae.